This 628-nucleotide ribosomal RNA is filed under the name Bacillus sp. (in: firmicutes). Its description in RNAcentral is "bacterial SSU rRNA". It matches the Rfam family "Bacterial small subunit ribosomal RNA", at positions 51 to 662 of the family's 1533-position model. The record is from RNAcentral. Lineage: Bacteria; Bacillati; Bacillota; Bacilli; Caryophanales; Bacillaceae.
AUACAUGCAAGUCGAGCGGACAGAAGGGAGCUUGCUCCCGGAUGUUAGCGGCGGACGGGUGAGUAACACGUGGGUAACCUGCCUGUAAGACUGGGAUAACUCCGGGAAACCGGAGCUAAUACCGGAUAGUUCCUUGAACCGCAUGGUUCAAGGAUGAAAGACGGUUUCGGCUGUCACUUACAGAUGGACCCGCGGCGCAUUAGCUAGUUGGUGAGGUAACGGCUCACCAAGGCGACGAUGCGUAGCCGACCUGAGAGGGUGAUCGGCCACACUGGGACUGAGACACGGCCCAGACUCCUACGGGAGGCAGCAGUAGGGAAUCUUCCGCAAUGGACGAAAGUCUGACGGAGCAACGCCGCGUGAGUGAUGAAGGUUUUCGGAUCGUAAAGCUCUGUUGUUAGGGAAGAACAAGUGCAAGAGUAACUGCUUGCACCUUGACGGUACCUAACCAGAAAGCCACGGCUAACUACGUGCCAGCAGCCGCGGUAAUACGUAGGUGGCAAGCGUUGUCCGGAAUUAUUGGGCGUAAAGGGCUCGCAGGCGGUUUCUUAAGUCUGAUGUGAAAGCCCCCGGCUCAACCGGGGAGGGUCAUUGGAAACUGGGAAACUUGAGUGCAGAAGAGGAGAGU